Molecule: long non-coding RNA, 582 nt
Organism: Triticum dicoccoides
Lineage: Eukaryota; Viridiplantae; Streptophyta; Magnoliopsida; Poales; Poaceae
Exons: 3
Source: RefSeq, a predicted model, not a curated record
AGUUUGCAUGCAGCUGGCACAUAUAUUCACCAGAAACUGAUUGACUAUGAUUGUGGGUCGCAAGCAAAGGAAUGCUAACCGCGGUGGUGGUGGUGAUUGAAGAGCCCUUAAUCAAUUCGGCCCUGUAGAUUGGAGCAGCAACCUGGGAUAUUGCACCAUCUAGCUCCGUCUAUCUGAUUCAUCUUCUUUUCUUGGUCUAUCAAUUGGAGGAAUCUACAGAUUCGUGAAUAUGUUCCUGACCUCGCACAAUCGAUAGUCGGUCUGAUCUCGUCCUCCAAUGACCAAGAGUUCCGAGACGAAUGUGUGGUGCCCCUCGCGUAACAUAGGGACAUGGCAGAAAGUAGCAAGUCCACAAGUUGAUCUAAGAUGUUCCGGUGAUCGCUUUUGUUCAUAACAUGGUAGAUACAUUUUGUUCAUAUGGAAGUUGAUGCCGGCUUGGUGAUUGAAGGAUUGGUCUCUUUCAUAAUACUCCCUCUGUACCUAAAUACUUGUAGUUGGGGGAAACUUGACACGUCUUGUAUGUCGACUUAUGUAUUACCUUCAUGGUUGUAGCAAACUUGAGUGAAGAUAACAAAUGUUCAA